Molecule: transfer RNA, 69 nt
Filed under: Ictidomys tridecemlineatus (thirteen-lined ground squirrel)
Lineage: Eukaryota; Metazoa; Chordata; Mammalia; Rodentia; Sciuridae
Description: Spermophilus tridecemlineatus (thirteen-lined ground squirrel) tRNA
Rfam family: tRNA
About the family: Transfer RNA (tRNA) molecules are approximately 80 nucleotides in length. Their secondary structure includes four short double-helical elements and three loops (D, anti-codon, and T loops). Further hydrogen bonds mediate the characteristic L-shaped molecular structure. tRNAs have two regions of fundamental functional importance: the anti-codon, which is responsible for specific mRNA codon recognition, and the 3' end, to which the tRNAs corresponding amino acid is attached (by aminoacyl-tRNA synthetases). tRNAs cope with the degeneracy of the genetic code in two manners: having more than one tRNA (with a specific anti-codon) for a particular amino acid; and 'wobble' base-pairing, i.e. permitting non-standard base-pairing at the 3rd anti-codon position.
Source: Rfam by way of RNAcentral
GGAGUUGUGGCUCAGUGGCAGAGCGCUUGCCUCACGUGCAUGGGGCUCUGGGUUCGAUCCUCAGCACCA